UACGGGGGGAGCAAGCGUUGUUCGGAUUUACUGGGCGUAAAGGGCGCGUAGGCGGCGUGACAAGUCACUUGUGAAAUCUCCGGGCUUAACUCGGAACGGUCAAGUGAUACUGUCGUGCUAGAGUACAGAAGGGGCAACUGGAAUUCUCGGUGUAGCGGUGAAAUGCGUAGAGAUCGGGAGGAACACCAGUGGCGAAGGCGGCUCGCUGGGCCGGCCCUGACGCUGAGCGCGAAGGCGUGGGGAGCGAACGGG
RNAcentral lists this ribosomal RNA (252 nucleotides) under uncultured bacterium. Its description in RNAcentral is "partial 16S ribosomal RNA". It matches the Rfam family "Bacterial small subunit ribosomal RNA", at positions 524 to 776 of the family's 1533-position model. The record is from RNAcentral.